This 235-nucleotide unclassified non-coding RNA is filed under the name plant metagenome. Its description in RNAcentral is "partial contains small subunit ribosomal RNA, internal transcribed spacer 1, and 5.8S ribosomal RNA". The stretch from base 1 to 54 matches the Rfam family "Eukaryotic small subunit ribosomal RNA", at positions 1778 to 1831 of the family's 1831-position model. The record is from RNAcentral.
GGAAGUGAAAGUCGUAACAAGGUUUCCGUAGGUGAACCUGCGGAAGGAUCAUUCAUAAUAAGUGUUUUAUGGCACUUUUUUAAAUCCAUAUCCACCUUGUGUGCAAUGUCAGGGUUGAUUUUCCUCUCGAGAGGAUCAGCCCCAAACAUCAACUAUAUCUCAACUCUUUGUCUGAAAAAUAUUAUGAAUAAAACAAUUCAAAAUACAACUUUCAACAACGGAUCUCUUGGCUCUC